AGAAAGUGGUAUUUAUGUAUGAGGCUCAGAGCUCACAUCAUGCUACAAGGGAGUGGUGAUCCUGAGACUCAGCCUCUGAUUUAGGUCUUGCUUUCCUCCUCUUCCAGUCACCUCUAUCUCUUUAGCCAGCUUUAAAACAGCCCCUUCUCAGGUGUGGUGGCACAUGCCUAUAAUCUCAGUGGCUUGGGAGGCUGAGACAGGAGGAUCGUAAAUUCAAGGCCAGCCUUAGCAACUCAGCAAGGUCCUAACCAAUUUUGCAAGACCUUGCCUCUGAAUAAAAUAUAAAAAGGGCUGGGGAUGUGGCUCAGUAAAGUGCCCCUACAUUCAAUCCCUGGUACCAAAGAAAAACAAAAAAACAGAUUCUUGGAAGUUUAAGCUCACUCCUAUAAUUCCAACACCUUGGGAGGCUAAGACAGGGGGAUCACAAAUUCAAGACAAGCCUCAGCAACCCAGUGAGGCCCUAAGCAAUUUAGUGAGAUCAUUUCUAAAAAAAAAAAAAAAAAUCCCCCUUAUUUACCUUCUUUGGUACCUAUCUUUCCAAACAGGUUGUUCAACUCCUCCCUUAUGCUUAGUGUUAGCGACAGGACUUAGCCAGAUAUUUUUAUGGGUCAAGGAAUAGAGAAUAGAGAAAUUGGCUAUUCAGAGUGACUUUGAAAUAAUUCCAGUUCCCUUCCCUGUCUCCUGCUAAGGAUGCCUCUGUGGACUACACACACACAAGGGCACACUCAAACACUCAGCCAGAGCUUCUCUUCCUUUGUGCUCUGUCUCACCUUGAAACAUGAAUAUCCAGGGUGUUUGUUAAGGCUAGAAAGGCAGGAGUUCAUGAGACCUGGUGAUGAAACAAGCAUAAGUUACUCAUCUGAAAGUUUCUUUUUUCUUUUUCUGGUAGUACUACUAAACUAUACAUCUACAAACUCAGCCUUUUUUUUUUUUUUUUAAGGUUGAGACAGGGUCUCACUAAGUUGCUGAGGUUGGCCUCAAAGUUUUGAGCCUCCUGCUCCAGCCUCCUCAGUAUCUGGGAUUACAGGCAUGCUCCACUGUACCCAGCUCAUCCCGGAGUUUCUCAGAAAAGAACACAUCAGGACUGGACUUUUUAUCAUGUCUGGGGCCCAGUACAAGUCUGAUGGUCAGGGGCAGACCCCUCCCUGCCCCAAAACACAUUCUGAACCCACCCUGAAGAUUCGGAACUAGGAAGCCAUGCUGUGGUUCCCUGUUCCCGAUCUCCCAGGGCUCAAUAUAUCUGCUGAUAAGCCUACAACUCACAUCCCACCAUCCCCACCCCCUCUUCUGUCGUCCUCACUGUGGAAGAGAGGCUGACACCACGUCAGACACCCUCUGCAGAAGAUGACAGGCUUCUUUGCAGCCCCAGUUUGAUACAAAUUCACCCAGAGGCAGUAG
Molecule: long non-coding RNA, 1398 nt
Filed under: Marmota monax (woodchuck)
Lineage: Eukaryota; Metazoa; Chordata; Mammalia; Rodentia; Sciuridae
Source: RNAcentral